This is a long non-coding RNA of Mastomys coucha (southern multimammate mouse), 1266 nucleotides long. RefSeq lists it as uncharacterized. Lineage: Eukaryota; Metazoa; Chordata; Mammalia; Rodentia; Muridae. The transcript has 2 exons. The record is from RefSeq and is a predicted model, not a curated record.
ACCAUCAUGGCUCCAUCAGAGCCUGUGUGGAAGUACCAGAAGAGGAGAACUGCUGCUCAGUUACUCUUGGCCCAAGAAUGCCCUUUUUUCCAGGAGAGAUGUCCUCUACUCCAGAGCAUAGCAGUUUUGCCUAAGGUGUAUAUGAAGCACCAAGGAAAGAAGGGGACAUUCAUGAUCCACAUAGCCAGCCAGGUCAUCCGGCUCCACCCUAGUGAUCAGUGGAGUGGUACAGGUUGUACUGAGUUCCUUCCCAUCCUCAUUAUUGCUUCAUCUCCUGGAUGUUCCUAGGGUCUUCAGCUCACUCUAAAGCAGUUCUGCUCCCCUGCUGAAGCAUCAGUUACAAAGUUGCUACAGUUGUUUGCUGCUGUAACCAUGAAGGCUCCAUGUUCUUGGUAUCUUGGUGGCCAUCUUUGUGGUGCUGCUGAUCACAGCUGUGCUUGCAGUCAUGUCUAACUAUCCUUUUGAUGUAGAAGGAUCUUGGCAGUGGCACCUCAUUCAUCUUUCAGAUGCUUGCCAUUGCUUUUUUUUUUUUUAAUGGCAGUGUUGAUGGGAAAAGCUUGCAUAUGCUCUCACCCAAGGUCUGACUGUGUGACAGCCCUCUCACCUCCACUGUCCAAAGUCAGCCACAUGGUUGACCCACAAUUAGAGUGUAAGGGCAGAUUUCAGCUACAAAGAAAAGGCCAUGGAGCAGAAAGCAGGCUAAGAGAAAAAUCAUAAAGUAUCGGGUAUCUGAAGACGUUGAGAAGAUGAUGUUUAUGUCACUUUGAAAAAUAUACCAGCCUGGUCUACAGAGUGAGUACCAGGACAGUCUGGUCUACAGAGUGAGUACCAGGACAGCCAGUGCUACACCGAGAAACCCUGUCUUGAAAAAAAGAAAAAAAAAAGAAACAUAUAUCAUCUGACAGGGAAAAAUAUGAAUUAUAUUUUGGAAGGUAGCUGCCACGCCACGCAUCAGUACAAAUUUGUGUACUGUGAAGCAAGGGAUGGAAAGAAGAGACUGGAUGACAUGAGGAGAUAGAGGGAAUGGGAAGAAAAAAGAAACAUGGGGAACACACUAUUCUCUGUAUCCAUCACCUGCUAAGUUUAAACUCCAACACCAAUGGGAGGCAGGAGACCUAUAGAAUUCACCAAUGCAGAAGGAAAACCCUAAAGACGGAACUCUCAACCACCCGGCUCUUAGUUCCCUUGUCUUCAUCGUCCCAUUUGUGAUACAGUGGGAGAAAGAGGGUUAGCCCAGAACAAGACAAAGAACAAAAGAAAAUGUCA